GACGAACGCUGGCGGCGUGCUUAACACAUGCAAGUCGAACGGAAAGGCCCCUUUGGGGGUACCCGAGUGGCGUACGGGGGGGUAACAUGCGAGUAACCUGCCCUUGACUUCGGGAUAACUUCAGGAAACUGGGGCUAAUUCCGGAGAGGAAUCCUUGCUGCCUGGUGGGGGUUGGAAAGCUUCGGCGGUUUUGGAUGGACUUGCGGCGUAUCCGCUUGUUGGUGGGGUAGUGGCUUACCAAGGCUUUGAAGGGUAGCCGGCCAGAGGGGGCGACCGGCCACAUUGGGACUGAGGGACGGCCCAGACGCCUACGGGAGGCAGCAGUGGGGAAGAUUGGACAAUGGGCGGAAGCCUGAUGCAGCAACGCCGCGUGCGGGAUGGCGGGCUUCGGGUUGUAGACCGGUAUCGGCAGGGGAGAAGCUUGUGGUGACGGUACCUGCAGAAGAAGCACCGGCUAACUACGUG
This 465-nucleotide ribosomal RNA is filed under the name uncultured bacterium. RNAcentral's name for it is "partial 16S ribosomal RNA". It matches the Rfam family "Bacterial small subunit ribosomal RNA", at positions 28 to 507 of the family's 1533-position model. The record is from RNAcentral.